CGCCAGACUCCUACGGGAGGCAGCAGUGGGGAAUAUUGCACAAUGGGGGAAACCCUGAUGCAGCGACGCCGCGUGAGCGAUGAAGUAUUUCGGUAUGUAAAGCUCUAUCAGCAGGGAAGAAAAUGACGGUACCUGACUAAGAAGCCCCGGCUAACUACGUGCCAGCAGCCGCGGUAAUACGUAGGGGGCAAGCGUUAUCCGGAUUUACUGGGUGUAAAGGGAGCGUAGACGGCAAUGCAAGCCAGAUGUGAAAGCCCGGGGCUCAACCCCGGGACUGCAUUUGGAACUGUGUAGCUGGAGUGUCGGAGAGGCAGGCGGAAUUCCUAGUGUAGCGGUGAAAUGCGUAGAUAUUAGGAGGAACACCAGUGGCGAAGGCGGCCUGCUGGACGAUGACUGACGUUGAGGCUCGAAAGCGUGGGGAGCCAACAGGAUUAGAUACCCCAGUA
RNAcentral lists this ribosomal RNA (446 nucleotides) under uncultured bacterium. RNAcentral describes it as "partial 16S ribosomal RNA". It matches the Rfam family "Bacterial small subunit ribosomal RNA", at positions 329 to 792 of the family's 1533-position model. The record is from RNAcentral.